UACAGAGGUCCCAAGCGUUGUUCGGAUUCACUGGGCGUAAAGGGUGCGUAGGUGGUAAGGCAAGUCAGGUGUGAAAUCUCCGGGCUCAACCCGGAAAUGGCAUUCGAAACUACCUUGCUAGAGGGUUUGAGGGGGGACUGGAAUUCUUGGUGUAGCAGUGAAAUGCGUAGAUAUCAAGAGGAACACCAGUGGCGAAGGCGAGUCCCUGGACAACACCUGACACUGAGGCACGAAAGCCGGGGGAGCAAACAGG
This 253-nucleotide ribosomal RNA is filed under the name uncultured bacterium. RNAcentral describes it as "partial 16S ribosomal RNA". It matches the Rfam family "Bacterial small subunit ribosomal RNA", at positions 524 to 776 of the family's 1533-position model. The record is from RNAcentral.